Molecule: ribosomal RNA, 393 nt
Filed under: Nostoc microscopicum VB62235
Lineage: Bacteria; Bacillati; Cyanobacteriota; Cyanophyceae; Nostocales; Nostocaceae
Description: bacterial SSU rRNA
Rfam family: Bacterial small subunit ribosomal RNA
Source: RNAcentral
AUUAAAGGAGAAUUUUGCGCAAUGGGCGAAAGCUUGACGGAGCAAUACCGCGUGAGGGAGGAAGGCCUUGGGUUUAAACCUCCUUUCUCAAGGAAUAAGUUUUGAAGGUACUUGAGGAAUAAGCAUCGGCUAACUCCGUGCCAGCAGCCGCGGUAAUACGGAGGAUGCAAGCGUUAUCCGGAAUGAUUGGGCGUAAAGCGUCCGCAGGUGGUCCUGUAAGUCUGCUGUUAAAGAGUGAGGCUUAACCUCAUAAAAGCAGUGGAAACUACAGAGCUAGAGUGCGUUCGGGGCAGAAGGAAUUCCUGGUGUAGCGGUGAAAUGAAUAGAGAUCAGGAAGAACACCGGUGGCGAAGGCGUCUGCUAGGCCGCAACGACACUGAGGACGAAAGGCUG